Molecule: long non-coding RNA, 933 nt
Organism: Scatophagus argus
Lineage: Eukaryota; Metazoa; Chordata; Actinopteri; Scatophagidae
Exons: 3
Source: RefSeq, a predicted model, not a curated record
UUAACGUUUAGCUGGAGCCUCUCAGAGCUGCUGGCCGGACUGAGAACCACACGACGUCUCUGUGGGGGCCAACAGCACGAGCUGAUCUCAGGUACAAGCUCACCUGGAGGUUCAGCUCCACUUCCAAUGUAAGUUAACGACACCUGUGACAUCAUCACCUUCUCUGAACAGGGAACGUGGCCUUUGUGUGUGACAGUGAUGUUCCUCAUUGUUCUGUUUCACCGAGAACCUGGAGAACACAACACACCACAAAACACAAGGCAGCAGCUGCUCUCUCAUCACCACAUCAGUUUAUUUACCAGCCCGACACCCGAACGCUCGGCCGGCCGGCAGAGGAGCUCAGAUCGCAGCCCACAGCGAGGCAGAGGGGCUUCACCGUCCAAACCGAUCCACGCUCACAGUCUCAGACAGACGCUUUAGGACACCAGCUGAGACAGCAGGAGGAGUCGGUGUUUCUUCUUCUCUCCUGUUAGUCGUGCUGGGGUUCCCGACCCUCGGGCUGGGUGAGGGGAGAGGCCACACAGGCGCAGAGUCAAACACAAAGCAUUGUGGGAGUUUUACUGGCCGGACGAGUGAAGCUGCCGAUGGACGGACAGGAGCCCUGCAGGGUCAAACAGACCGGAACAACCCGACUGACAGGAUGCUGUCUGGUGUUUGUGUUACAUCUGUUUCACUGAGCAGCAGCUUCAGGAUGGCAGUCAGGACCCAGUGAACCCAGAACCCAGUGCAGGACUGGGACGUGGACCAGUUUGUUCCUCUGCUGCAGCCAAACUGACAAAAACUGAACUGAGAUCUGAAGCUGAACUUGAAGUCUGAAACUUUAUUGACUCCAGCUGAACUGAACAAGCUGGAAACACUGCAGAGGCCUGCUGCAUGCCUGUGUGUGUGUGUGUGUGUGUGUGUGUGAGAGAGAAACAUGCCAACACAGCAGAA